This 492-nucleotide ribosomal RNA is filed under the name uncultured bacterium. Its description in RNAcentral is "partial 16S ribosomal RNA". It matches the Rfam family "Bacterial small subunit ribosomal RNA", at positions 29 to 507 of the family's 1533-position model. The record is from RNAcentral.
AGUGAACGCUGGCGGUAGGCCUAACACAUGCAAGUCGAACGGCAGCACAGUAAGAGCUUGCUCUUACGGGUGGCGAGUGGCGGACGGGUGAGGAAUACAUCGGAAUCUACUUUUUCGUGGGGGAUAACGUAGGGAAACUUACGCUAAUACCGCAUACGACCUACGGGUGAAAGCAGGGGAUCUUCGGACCUUGCGCGAUUGAAUGAGCCGAUGUCGGAUUAGCUAGUUGGCGGGGUAAAGGCCCACCAAGGCGACGAUCCGUAGCUGGUCUGAGAGGAUGAUCAGCCACACUGGAGCUGGGACAGGGUCCAGACUCCUACGGGAGGCAGCAGUGGGGAAUAUUAGACAAUGGGCGCAAGCCUGAUCCAGCCAUACCGCGUGGGUGAAGAAGGCCUUCGGGUUGUAAAGCCCUUUUGUUGGGAAAGAAAAGCAGCAGGUUAAUACCCCGCUGUUCUGACGGUACCCAAAGAAUAAGCACCGGCUAACUUCGUG